AAAGCUGUUGAGAAGAGGUAAUGUCAUGCUUUGGGUAGCUGGGUGGCUCUUCAGAAGCUCCAGAGACCUGCAGCUCAUCUUCCAGUUCCACAGAGCCCUGGACAGGAGCAAUAGGCCCAGGAGCUGAGCGAGCGGGAAGAGAGAUGCUCAGGUCCCAGUGGCCUCCUGCUUCCGGCACCUGCCACCUGGGUCCUGUUGGAAGUUGUCCUCAUGUGGGUGUCAGAAAAGAGCAGAAAUCCCACACAGGGUCAUGAUACCAAGGAAAUGUGGCGGCGUGCCUGAUACACGUGCUGAGUUCUCGGAACCACAGAUAACUCCUCCCUAAGGGAUGCUUGGAGCCCUUUCUGCAGCUACCCCUGGACCAGCUGUGAGUCAGCUACUGCAGGACAGCAGGGAUCCUCAGGGUCCAUUCUAGAAGCAUGAGUCAGACCCAGGUCAGGACGGGGGGUGUUCACACUGGGGUCAGAUGCUGGACCCAGGUAAGAGCAGACAUAUGCCUGGUUGCCACUGUAUCACGCUACCCUGUUCCAGUAGCUGGAUCUCAGGAGGUUGGAAGGGGAGCCUCUGAUGCGGAACUGAGCACCCCCAGGCCUGUGGGGUGCAGCGUUGUUGACACAGGCUCUGUGAUAUCUAGAUGCUUUUCAGAUAGAAUAGCCUGAAAGGGCCCAGGGAUGACCUAGAAGGCCUUGCUGCUGCUGCUGCUGCUGCUGGGGCAGGACCUCUAGCCCUGGGCCUUGGCCCAACUUGGGGACUCCUUCUUCUUCGUUAGAGCUCCUGAAGCCAGCUUGCCAGGCCCAGGUACCUGUCUGGUUCCUGAGAACCACUCAUUCGUCUAGAUCCCAGCGGUCUCCAGUGAGGAUUCAGAUGAGCUAUUCCAGGCUUUGGUGAACAUCUGAGACAUGGAAAUGCCUACUCUGAACUCUCCCCACAUCCUGACUCUGGGCAGGGGUCUGUCCUUUCCCAUUGCGGUAAAUUGUGACUGUUCAGCACAAUGGACAGCACUCACGCCUGGGGUGGGCCAAAGUGGGGAUGAGGGUCUCUGUGCCUUGCAAUGGUCAAAAUUUUAGCCACAGCACACGUAUCUCCAAAGCCCGACUUCUUAUUUCUAGGAGCCUUGUCUUCUCGGAAGCCAGGAACUUAUUGGCUUCUUAGGACAGAUAACUAAACACACCAUUGUGGAUAUUCAUAUGGGCGACGUGAUUUAGGAUGAGGUGCCUCAGUGGGCCUUUGCAGGUAGGAAAGUGGAGGGAAAUGGUUGGGGUGAUGGGGGCUUAUCUUUGCUGCCCAGACAUGCAGAAAAGUCAGACACACACAGAAGUCACCUGCUGCGACCAGCCCUUAUUAGGCACUGGGAGGAGUGGGUGAGACAGUGACACGAGGUUCGCCGCACGGCUCUUGCCUUGUAGCAGCUCACAGCUGCGCAGAGGACAUAGGUGUCAACAAACAUUGAUUCCUUUCCAGGCUUGAAAUUUGCAGAACUCUCUCAGGAAAACAUGAAACCUGUUAAAAUAUGCAGAAAAUGAAGCAGCAGCUUGGCUGGGAGGGAAGGAAACCAAACCUCAUAAGCCCUCAGGGACCCGCCCCUGGGACCCUGGCUUCCAGGGCAGCCCUCUCCUGGUUCUCUUGGGGCUCCCGGGGUGUGGGAAGAGUCCUGGGUUGCUUUUCCUCCUGCCCCAGGCCCCAGGGGCCGCAAGCUUUCAACUCCUCCUAAGUGCUCAGUGCUGAGGUGGAAGCCGUGGCCCCCAGCCUGCACUCCAGCCCUCCGGCCUGGCCUCUGAUCCCCUGGACAGAGCUGUUUGCCCAGCCCACACCUGGCAGUCUGUCCCUGACUGUCAGGACGAACAGGUUUGGCUGACCGAACUGGCAGCAGCCUUUGUGUUCAGUGAGAUAAAGAGUCAGAGCUUU
Long non-coding RNA from Myotis lucifugus (little brown bat), 1905 nucleotides. RefSeq lists it as uncharacterized. NCBI's taxonomy places the organism in Eukaryota, Metazoa, Chordata, Mammalia, Chiroptera, Vespertilionidae. The record is from RefSeq and is a predicted model, not a curated record. The transcript is spliced from 3 exons.